Molecule: ribosomal RNA, 301 nt
Filed under: uncultured bacterium
Lineage: Bacteria
Description: partial 16S ribosomal RNA
Rfam family: Bacterial small subunit ribosomal RNA
Source: RNAcentral
CAGCCGCGGGAAUACGUAGGGCGCAAGCGUUAUCCGGAAUUAUUGGGCGUAAAGAGCUCGUAGGCGGUUUGUCGCGUCUGCCGUGAAAGUCCGGGGCUCAACCCCGGAUCUGCGGUGGGUACGGGCAGACUAGAGUGAUGUAGGGGAGACUGGAAUUCCUGGUGUAGCGGUGAAAUGCGCAGAUAUCAGGAGGAACACCGAUGGCGAAGGCAGGUCUCUGGGCAUUAACUGACGCUGAGGAGCGAAAGCAUGGGGAGCGAACAGGAUUAGAUACCCCAGUAGUCCCUGUCUCUUAUACACA